UGCACCGUGGUUGUCGUCCCUGCCC
This 25-nucleotide non-coding RNA is filed under the name Rattus norvegicus (Norway rat). Lineage: Eukaryota; Metazoa; Chordata; Mammalia; Rodentia; Muridae. The record is from RNAcentral.